GAUGAACGCUGGCGGCGUGCCUAAUACAUGCAAGUCGAGCGAACGGACGAGAAGCUUGCUUUUCUGAUGUUAGCGGCGGACGGGUGAGUAACACGUGGAUAACCUACCUAUAAGACUGGGAUAACUUCGGGAAACUGGAGCUAAUACCGGAUAAUAUUUUGAACCGCAUGGUUCAAAAGUGAAAGACGGUCUUGCUGUCACUUAUAGAUGGAUCCGCGCUGCAUUAGCUAGUUGGUAAGGUAACGGCUUACCAAGGCAACGAUGCAUAGCCGACCUGAGAGGGUGAUCCGCCCCACUGGAGCUGAGCCGCGGUCCAGACUCCUACGGGAGGCCGCGGUAGGGACUCUUCCGCAAUGGGCGAAAGCCUGACGGAGCAACGCCGCGUGAGUGAUGAAGGUCUUCGGAUCGUAAAACUCUGUUAUUGGGGAAGACCAUAUGUGUAAGUGACUGUGCACAUCUUGACGGUACCUAAUCAGAAAGCCCCGGCUAACUACGUG
This 497-nucleotide ribosomal RNA is filed under the name uncultured bacterium. RNAcentral describes it as "partial 16S ribosomal RNA". It matches the Rfam family "Bacterial small subunit ribosomal RNA", at positions 28 to 507 of the family's 1533-position model. The record is from RNAcentral.